RNAcentral lists this ribosomal RNA (660 nucleotides) under uncultured bacterium. Its description in RNAcentral is "bacterial SSU rRNA". It matches the Rfam family "Bacterial small subunit ribosomal RNA", at positions 94 to 788 of the family's 1533-position model. The record is from RNAcentral.
AGUGGCGGACGGGUGAGUAACGCGUGAGAAUCUGCCUUGGGGUCGGGGACAACCACUGGAAACGGUGGCUAAUACCGGAUAAGCCGAUUGGUGAAAGAUUUAUUGCCCGAAGAGGAGCUCGCGUCUGAUUAGCUAGUUGCUGAGGUAAGAGCUCACCAAGGCAGCGAUCAGUAGCUGGUCUGAGAGGACGAUCAGCCACACUGGGACUGAGACACGGCCCAGACUCCUACGGGAGGCAGCAGUGGGGAAUUUUCCGCAAUGGGCGAAAGCCUGACGGAGCAAGACCGCGUGAGGGAGGAAGGCUCUUGGGUUGUAAACCUCUUUUCUCAGGGAAGAAGCUCUGACGGUACCUGAGGAAUCAGCCUCGGCUAACUCCGUGCCAGCAGCCGCGGUAAUACGGAGGAGGCAAGCGUUAUCCGGAAUUAUUGGGCGUAAAGCGUCCGCAGGUGGCGAUUCAAGUCUGCUGUCAAAGCACGGGGCUUAACUCCGUAAAGGCAGUGGAAACUGAAUAGCUAGAGUGCCGUAGGGGUAGAGGGAAUUCCCGGUGUAGCGGUGAAAUGCGUAGAGAUCGGGAAGAACAUCGGUGGCGAAAGCGCUCUACUGGACGGCAACUGACACUCAGGGACGAAAGCUAGGGGAGCGAAUGGGAUUAGAUACCCC